UGAAGCAGUGAUGGGUUGGCUGGUAAAU
This 28-nucleotide non-coding RNA is filed under the name Homo sapiens (human). The record is from RNAcentral. Lineage: Eukaryota; Metazoa; Chordata; Mammalia; Primates; Hominidae.